GAUGAAGAACGUAGCGAAAUGCGAUAAGUAGUGUGAAUUGCAGAAUUCAGUGAAUCAUCGAAUCUUUGAACGCACAUUGCGCCCCUUGGUAUUCCAUGGGGCAUGCCUGUUCGAGCGUCAUUUGUACCUUCAAGCUCUGCUUGGUGUUGGGUGUUUGUCUCGCCUCUGCGUGUAGACUCGCCUCAAAAUAAUUGGCAGCCGGCGUAUUGAUUUCGGAGCGCAGUACAUCUCGCGCUUUGCACUCAUAACGACGACGUCCAAAAGUACAUUUUUACACUCUUGACCUCGGAUCAGGUAGGGAUACCCGCUGAACUUAAGCAUAUCAAUAACGGAGGA
Molecule: unclassified non-coding RNA, 336 nt
Filed under: soil metagenome
Description: partial contains 5.8S ribosomal RNA, internal transcribed spacer 2, and large subunit ribosomal RNA
Rfam family: 5.8S ribosomal RNA (bases 1-120)
Source: RNAcentral